Molecule: long non-coding RNA, 1371 nt
Filed under: Homo sapiens (human)
Lineage: Eukaryota; Metazoa; Chordata; Mammalia; Primates; Hominidae
Description: HSALNT0212070
Source: RNAcentral
CUUAAGACAUCUUUUUAGGGUCCUGAAAUUACAUGCGCCAAGCACCUGUUACAUGGCUUCUUUGAAGGUUAAUGAAGCAGAAAAAUGGAGUUCAAAUACACGGAGAGAAAUAUAAUGAAGGAAAAAGAGGAAUAGACUAGCCUUUUAGAAGCACAUAGUGAAAAAACAUCUAAUGAUCUUUUAUUGUGUUGACAUGUAUUUUAGGUUUAAAAAGAAACUAUUAGAGUCAAUCAUUAUAUUAUGUUUUACAACCCUUACCUAUUUUAGGCCUCCAAACCGUUUUUACCUGUGAUUUAAAAAAUAACUUAGAACUGCACUUCUGCCAUUCACUGGAGCUGAUUUGCACUCUGAACUCUGUUCUAACCUAAUCAGGGCCCCACUUUCUCAUUGGGUAACCAAGCAAAAACAUGAAAGCGGUGAGUUGUACACAAAGACACAUGAGGGCCAAAUUGUCUUAAGUUUCCAGAAUGGCCAGUGAAGAUGGCAGCAACUUCUUGCUACAUUUUGAUGGAUCCCUGGCAUGGAAAAGCAAGAUGAUCCCUUAUCCUAGAACUAUGUACUGUCCAACAGUGGCAUCUUUGUGAUAAGAUGUUUCCACUUUCAAAGGAAGCUAUGCAGGCAGCUUCCAGAAUCCUGUGUAUCAAAGUAUUUCGGUUGGUGCAAAAGUAACCGUGUUUUUUGCCAUUAAAAGUAAUGAAAUCAUUUUUAGGUUGGUGCAAAAUUGUGGUUUUUAUCAUUCCUUUUGCACCAACCUAACAAAACACGAAACACAUCAUUUGAUAAGAUACAAAUAUCAAGCCUGAACUUAAUUAAAAAUGCUUACAAUGUGACCAAUUUAGAGACUAUCUUAUGAACAAGAACAGACAUCUCUUAUGGAAAUAAGAGCUUAGGUUUAUAUGGAUUUAAACUUUUUGAAGCAAUUUUACAUUUUAUUGCAUUUGAUUCUUCUAUCUGUGAGGAUUGUUGUAAUGACAAACCACAGAGAAUAUCAUUGGCUUAAAACAGCACGGGUGUUAUUUCUUGCUCAUGUUACUUUUCAUGGAUCACCUGAGGAGAGCCACUUGCCCUCUAUUACCCUCACUCAGGUAUCCAGGCCAAGGGAAGCUCCAUCUCUGUGCUUCUGUGAUUGCGAAGUCGGGGAAAGGGAGCAUGCUGAGUGGUACACUAGCUGUAUCUUCUUGAAAGUGAUUCAGGUCACUUCUGCUCAUUGUUUGUGAGCCAAAGCAAGUCCCAUGGUUCCUUCUUCAAAGGAAGUGAGGAACUUAAACCAGCUCUAUUCAGAUCUCAGAGCAAUGAGUGGUGCUGACAGGAGGCUGACAGGAAGCCUGCGGGCAGCAAAAAGCUCAAGCAGUGAGUGAGGAAACAAGAGAA